UUUGCUUCUUUGAUGCUGUACAGCAAUUAUGUGUCUUAAUUUGAAAGCCUUUGAAUUAUCCAUUUAUCACCACCUGUUCAUUGUGUUGAUCUCAGCCAGUAAAGUGAGGGAGGGUUUUUGCUCUCGCAUAGUUAGGGAGUGAAUUGUGUCUUGAUAAUUUGAGUAGCCCUUCGUUCAUGUAAUGAGGUCAGUCCACAGUGAUAAUGAAGAAUUAGGUUUUGAGAGGAGAAUCAUUAGUGAUUUUGUAAUUUGCUUGAUUCAGAUGUAAUUAUAUCAUGUUACUUUAAAAGAGUUUGAUAAUUACUGACACAUGCUGGUAAUUUAGUGUCCCUAACAGAUCACUGGCCCAUAUCCUGCUCUCCAUUCUCACUGUGCCUGCAUCCCUCCAUCAUUUGUCUGUACACAGGUUGUGGAGUUUUCUCACUCCAACAUGUUUCUUAUGUCUUUUAAAAGGUUCAAAUUCAUAAUAAUAUAAUAAUAUUAAUGUUAGCUAGCAAAAUGGACAGUCGUGUGGGCAGUUUUUGAGCUUUGUUUGCUAUACUUAUGUAUGAACAGACAUGUAUGGAUAUUGUAUCUUGUAAUUCUAAACAUUUUCAUUAUACCACUGUAUAUCAUAAUCAGAUGACAAACACUUGGUGGUUUAUAAACACCAAACAUCAGAAUGAUAUAUACAUAAAUAUAUUGUGUCAUCUUUGCAAGCUACAUAGAAAGGAACAUAGAAACCGAUUUAGUUUUAAAGGUGUUGUCCUUGUGAAGCAUUGCAUCACUUUUAGCAUUUUUAAUAUGGAAGCUGGAAGUCUGGUUGUCUUCCAUGUGCACAUUUACUGUUUCACCACAGCAAGGUCCAAGGUCUGCUUCUUUGUUAGACUGGACCAACUCUCUGCUGAUGAAAACAGUCUCUAGAUAUGGUGUCCAGAGCUCAUAGUGGCAAAGCCAGAAGAAGAUUUUUUUUUUUUUAAUUUGGCACAUAAGCAUUGAACUUUGCCACAUAGCACUGUGCAGUGAACCCAGUUGUUGUCCACCACCAGCACUACUUGCCAAAUUUGGCUUUUUACCAUUUGCUCCUUCAUAAAAUACUAUUGAAGUUAAAGUUAAAGACACUACAUCACUGUUGUGAUCUAGUGGAGGAAAUCUGGUGUGUGUUGCAGAUGUGGAAGCGAUGAGGGUGAUCACGUUUGCUGUUUGUUUAAUAAAUAAGCAGAUGGAACUUUUUGAUCACAUGUGGUGCUGCAAGCACAGAGACAUUUCAAUUAUGCCUCAAAAUAUAUAAACAAAUCAUUACCCGCCGCGUACAGAAAAUGUAAGGAAAUGCCAAAAUAAUGUAAAAUCGGAGCGUUGCGUUAUGGGUUCUUUAUAACCCUUAUUUAAUUGUAAUGUUUGUAGGCUAGCGAGGGGGUUUAUCAGCUUUAAAUGUUAAAUGAAUUUCUGAAUUUGCCUUUAAUGUGUGUUUAAUACUUGGGGGAAACUAAAUUCACAGCUUCUCUUGAUGUCUUUGCUUCAUUCCAGUGUCACAACGAUAAAGAAAUAGUGUGAAAAAAGAGUGGCAGCUCAGGCUGAGCAGCAGGCUUGGUUGGUGUUAAAUGGGGAGAUUGGGAGGCCAGAUGGAUUAUGGUUGGAGAUGAGAGGUCUGAGGCAGGAUGGAUUACAGGUUUUUAUUUUAAUGGAAUCAAUACGCUGUAAGUGUCAUCUUUAUCCUGUGCUGAUGGGAUCAUUCCACUGAACCGGGAGGGCACCGUGACUUUUCUCUGUUUCAGUACUCUUUUGCCUACUCUAGCUUACCUUGUCACAUCUAGAUGGCAGCCAACUUGACAAUUUGUCCAACAUUCUUCAGUAUGUCAGUUUAGGCACUUGGAUGAACUUGUAUGCCACCAGGCAGGCAGACAGUGUGCAUAGCCGUGUAAUGUACACAUGUGAAACUGAGUCCAUAUUUUGACUUUUUCCAGCUCGACACAGGCCUCGCUGAGGAAGCAUCUGUCAUGA
This is a long non-coding RNA of Oreochromis niloticus (Nile tilapia), 1980 nucleotides long. RefSeq lists it as uncharacterized. The record is from RefSeq and is a predicted model, not a curated record. The transcript is spliced from 2 exons. Lineage: Eukaryota; Metazoa; Chordata; Actinopteri; Cichliformes; Cichlidae.